Taeniopygia guttata (zebra finch) is the source of this 2928-nucleotide long non-coding RNA. The record is from Ensembl. NCBI's taxonomy places the organism in Eukaryota, Metazoa, Chordata, Aves, Passeriformes, Estrildidae.
UAUCUGUCCUAAUUAAAUUUCUAUUCGAAGUAAAAGAACAUAUCUAUUGGGCUUGUUUUGUAGAACUGAAAUACUGUCUGGUUUUAAUGAAGAAUCUUAAUUAUUUUGUGGAAAAAGAGAUUUAAUGCGUCCUUAGGCAAUCCUGUUACCUGACACUAUUUUGAUUCCUUCUCUUUUUAGAGAACGCUUUGUGUUAGAUCAGUAAAAUAUGUGAAUAUUUAUUUGUAUGUUUUUAUUGGAGCGACACAACUUUUCUUUACAGGUUUUCAAAUGGUGUUUGAAUAUCUGCUAAUAAAAAGCCACAGAGGGAAGGGGUGAUGAAGUUCAGACCACCUAGAAAUGCAGUGGGCAGAAAUGUGGGCAUCUCAUAUGCAAGAGACAGCAGAAUUCAAUCUUAGCACGUAUCAGUCUGAGAAUUUGUUCACUCUGGAGAGACACUGGAUCACAAUGUACAAGGAAUAGAAUAGAAAUUUAAAAUCUGUUCAGGGCUGUUCUCCACUCCUCUUUUCUGUAUUGCAGUGCUUCAUGCUUUUUCAAACCACCCAUUUAUUUUAUCAAAUUCUUUUUUUUGAAAAAAGAAUAUUGACAUUUUAGAAUUGAAAUACUGCAAAAGAGAAUUAUUUUAGGUCUGAGACUGUUGAUGUGUGGGAUAUCCCUCUUAAAGAAAAAAGGUAUGCUUACUGUGAAGUGGGAGAGGAUAGAUUUUAAAAGCUUUUACAUUUUGCACCUUUUCCACUUUGAUUUGAAACUCAAGAAUAUGCCUGCUUAGCACUGUAUUUUUAAACAAGGUUUUGAACAGAUCAGGCUUCCUACUUUUUUAAUAAUAUAAAGCAUACAGUCCAUUUGGCUACCUGAUAAUCUGUGGCUGAAUUGUGUAAAGAGGUAUGGAAUCCUCAAGAUGGGGAUUAUGAAGGGUUUUAUCAGGGGUUUUUCUUAGUUAAUAGAACAGAAAGACUAAGGAAAUUUAACCAAAAUUCAUUUAUAAAAUAUAUCUGUACCAUCAAAUAAAAGGUGGGGGUUUUUUCAGAUGUUGCUUCAUAGUGAGAAAAAGCCUGAUUUACCCUUUUACAGUUAAUUGCCCUUUUUUUUUAAUCUCUCCCAAACAUGUAUCUUCAUUUUAGCUGCCUGAUCCUAUUGCUUUACUUGAAGUAAUAUUUUGGUAGUAUCAAGAACCAUAGUUGUUUCUAGUUCAAGCUACCAUAGCAGGUCUGUCAGUCCCAGCCUAACAGAAAACCAUGAGCAGCAGGAGAAUUGAGCUGAACAAAUGAAGAUUAUGGCUGGAUGGAGUCAGUUUGUACUUCUUAGAUGUGAGAUAUUUGGAAUCACACCAGACACCAAGAACUUGCCCUUUGCUAGUGAGUCAGUAUUGCUUUGUGGGCAGUCUCUGCUUUACUGCAGGGAACAGGUUUGCUCGAGAAAACCUGAAGUAUGAGCAGACCCAAAAGCACAUGCUUUGUGUUCAACCAUGAACAUACCAAAAUCUCAUAAUAUCUGCAUUAAGUAUCUUUCAGGUUAUUUUUAGGCUACUCCUGUGAAGAUUGCAGCUCCCAAAAGAAACUGGACACCACCAGUAGCACACAGGAGAGAGCUGGAUACUGUCCAACAAACAUAAAGGUUCAUAAAGGGAGACAAUGGUUGCUGCCUGUAUUCAUCAUUUUGUCACGUUCCCUUCUCUCAAUCUCCAGUGACUCCAGAUGUCUGUGGGAGGCCUUAUAUAAGCACAAGGUAAAGAAUUUUGAUGGAACAAUGUACCACUCUAGGUCUGUAAUGAGUCACCUCAUCUGUGCAGCAUUUUUCAACAUAAAUGUGUGCUUUUAAAAAAUUAAAUAUUCUAGAUUUGAGCCUGUAAGGAUGCAAGAAAAGCAAGUAUCAGUCUUGGCAAUGAGAGGAAAGUGGUCUCAUCUUUCCAUUUUUCUUUUUUGGAGAGGACAAUAAUACAGAUAUGAAAAUGUUCUUAUUUAAAGAGGUCUUUUAGCAAAAUGCAGUAGGUAGAAGUCCAAAGAGGAGUGAUUCAAGUGAAACAAUCAUUUUUCGUGUGCGUGCGAUCCAGUUUUUAUGUACUGUGUCCAUGAAGAUCUUUUGAGGUCAUGGAUAAGUUAUUAGCUGCAGACACUCUUAACUCCUAAAGAACAUUUUCUUUGUAGGAAAGAAUCAGCAGAACAUUCCUGCUUGGUUCAGCAUUUCUGGUUCAGUUCUGAUCAUGUGGGAGCAAACUUCUGCAGACAUGUCUCUUGCUGCCGUAGACACGUGUGCUUUAUUGUUAUGCCCUUAAACCUUGGACUUGUCCAUGGAAUGUUCUCAAUUACAAAUUUCAGAUCUUUGCAGUAAAUAGCAGGAAAGGACUCAUGCUUCUCAAAAACUGCUUGAGGUAGCUCUUUGAAAGAACAGCUUGGUUUGCUUUCUGAUGGUUGGGAUCAACCCAAAUCCCCUUCUCACAGGCUGGGAAAUGCAUAGUGGGAAAGGCUUGUUUUCAGGAUGAUGGUCACAGGAUGGAUUCAUCAUGAUUGUUAAGAUAGGGUUAUUCUUCAUCGCUCUCUUCAUAUCUAAACUGAAGUACCUCUUGAAUAAAGUUUGGGCUCCAUGAUUCAUUCUUUCACUUUUUAUUUCCCUCUCUCCUGUUUUUCUCCAGUGAAGGUCGUGUAAAUAUUGACUUUUCAGGCUUUGUAGUUGGUUGAGUCUCUGAUUCACCAUCAGCUUGAACUGUGCCUUCACCUCCAGGAACCCUCUGCUUCCAUCUUCAGUUUCUGUCUUGCUUUUCCUGGAAAGGCCUGGGCAGGAUCUGCAGGUCAUAUAACACCAUCCACAUGCAUACUGUCUGGCAGCUCAGCAUCUGAGAGCCUGCAAGAGGGAAGUUAUGGAUAGUUAGCCAAAGCUAACUAAACUGAAGAGUUUUUCUGUACCAUGUCUUGGCAUAUCAAGAGAAAAAAA